This 373-nucleotide ribosomal RNA is filed under the name uncultured bacterium. Its description in RNAcentral is "bacterial SSU rRNA". It matches the Rfam family "Bacterial small subunit ribosomal RNA", at positions 525 to 896 of the family's 1533-position model. The record is from RNAcentral.
ACAGAGGGUGCGAGCGUUGUCCGGAAUCACUGGGCGUAAAGGGCGCGUAGGUGGCUUGGUAAGCGUGCGGUGAAAGCUCGGGGCUCAACCCCGAGUCUGCCGUGCGAACUGCCGAGCUUGAGCAUAGUAGAGGCAGGUGGAAUUCCGGGUGUAGCGGUGGAAUGCGUAGAUAUCCGGAAGAACACCGGUGGCGAAGGCGGCCUGCUGGGCUAUUGCUGACACUGAGGCGCGACAGCGUGGGGAGCAAACAGGAUUAGAUACCCUGGUAGUCCACGCCGUAAACGAUGGGCACUAGGUGCUUGGGGGAGCGACCCCCUGAGUGCCGUCGCUAACGCAUGAAGUGCCCCGCCUGGGGAGUACGGCCGCAAGGCUG